CCAACAGCCCUGGAGACUGAUAUCCCUUCUUUUCGUUCAGAAAAGGCUGAGCACCUGCACUAGUGGAAACAUUUCCCCCUGUAGCCUUUCAUCACCUCUGAUGUGCAGAGACCACCUCCAGGCAGAAGGAACUCCAGUCUCUGUGGCUGGCGUUGAAGGCAGGUUGGC
Molecule: unclassified non-coding RNA, 168 nt
Organism: Calidris pygmaea (Spoon-billed sandpiper)
Lineage: Eukaryota; Metazoa; Chordata; Aves; Charadriiformes; Scolopacidae
Source: Ensembl